UUCCGGAGUUGUGUUGGAGUGAGCUGAUGUGACGACUAAAUGCCUCGAAAAUUCCAGACGAAUAAUCUAUUCCAUAUUAUUUAUACUAUUCAAGUGGCGCCUUGAUAUUUGAAUAUGAAUAUAUCUUUACUUAUCCAGCAUUUAUCUUCUUACGGAUGUUAUCUCCGUUACAACCAGUGCUUUGCAAUGAGCAAUGAUAAUGGCGUAUAAUGUAUCUCUGCUCCACAGUCGCAAUACUUUGGUCUGAAAGCUUCUGAGCUGGUGAGGGGAGAAGGCUGCAACAUCGGGAUGACUGGAGCUGGUAAUGCAGUCCAAGCAAGCACUAGUGCGGGACAAGAGGAGAUUGCUUCAUGUUGUCUAUGAUGAUGGAGAUUUAGACAAGACCAUAAAAUUCUAUACAGUGCUUUGCAAUGAAGCUCCUGCGAAAUCAUGACAUACAGUAAUUGAACUCACUUUACAAUCAUGGAGGCGACUGGUAUGAUAUUGUCACUUGGUUUGGUCAUCAUGGCAUUGCGGUUGAAGAUGUUUACAAGACCGUAGAACUCCUAAAAGCCAAGGGUGGGAAAGUGACCUGGCCAUGUGAAAGAUGGUUGUACCGUUAUUGCUUUUGUUGAAGAUCCCGAUGGUAGUUAGAACUUCUAGAAACGCUUCGUGCUGGUGGACUUGAUCGCUCAAUAGAGUUCUAUAAGAAGGUAAGGCUGUGAAGUUUCUUCCAGUUGUAGUUGACAGUCAUUGUUCGCUUCAUUUUUUCUUCUCUUCUUUAGCUUUCCUGAAUAUCAAUGAUAUGCCUUGACUGGUUAAGUAUGUUCCAUUCCGUAUCAUAUUUAGUUCAUUGUUGGUUUCAUGUGCAUCCAUUAACUUAAUUAUGUGAUGUUUAUGAUUGCUUCGAUUAUACUAAAGCUAUGCUGGGUUAUGGCUUCACUGAUUACAAAAAAGGGGAAUGCUUAUGCUUCGGUACAUUAAUUUUCCAAUUUUCUUCAUAUCACCUUGGUUCGGAAACAUGAAUAGUAAUAUUUUAGAAUUGUUCUUGAAUUCUUAAUUUCUUACUCUCGUGAUUUCAUGAAAUCAAUGAUCGAGAUGUUACUGACUUAUAAGUCAUAACAAACAAGGAAUUAUAUCUGUCUUUCUCUAUGUAAAGAUUGCUAUUGCAGAAACAGUGAAACUUAGUGGGGGAGAAGUCACCCGAAAACCUGGACCGUUGCCAGCUUGCUUGGAUCCCGAUGGCUGGAAGACGGUAAGCUUCUAAAAAAAUUUCACUUUCUGUGCCUUGCCUUUUAGUUGAUUUCUGUUUUAUACAGUAGAAUUUAGUAGAAGAAACAAUUUUUUUUUCAUUAUAAGUGAAAAGUUAUGACGCAAAAUAAAUCCAACUGUUCGGAUAAACCAAAUAACUAACUAUUCACAACUCCACUCCAAAACGGACCCUUCUCUUGAAGCCAACUCGACGCUUCCAGAUCUUAUUGGAGAAUCACCAACCUUAAUAAAACAUUCUUUUUCACCUUCCACAAAGCUUCACAGACCCUUUUAGACAAGGUUGAACACAUCCGCCUUAUUCUUUUUCACCUUCCAGUCUCAAUUCUUCCAGUAAUUUCAGCAUAUUUUAAAAUUUAGCCAUCACCUUUGAAUCAUUAUGAUUGGAAAGGCGGAAGAUUUUUGGAA
Molecule: long non-coding RNA, 1656 nt
Organism: Cucurbita maxima (winter squash)
Lineage: Eukaryota; Viridiplantae; Streptophyta; Magnoliopsida; Cucurbitales; Cucurbitaceae
Exons: 5
Source: RefSeq, a predicted model, not a curated record